GUAAGUAUAGUUCAAUGGUAGAACAGUGAAUUGUGGCUUCAAAGGCUGAAGGUUCAAGUCCUUCUUCUUACC
This 72-nucleotide transfer RNA is filed under the name Stylonychia lemnae. RNAcentral describes it as "tRNA-His". It matches the Rfam family "tRNA". Rfam says of the family: Transfer RNA (tRNA) molecules are approximately 80 nucleotides in length. Their secondary structure includes four short double-helical elements and three loops (D, anti-codon, and T loops). The record is from RNAcentral. Lineage: Eukaryota; Ciliophora; Spirotrichea; Sporadotrichida; Oxytrichidae.